GAUGAAGAACGUAGCGAAAUGCGAUAAGUAAUGUGAAUUGCAGAAUUCAGUGAAUCAUCGAAUCUUUGAACGCACAUUGCGCCCCCUGGUAUUCCGGGGGGCAUGCCUGUUCGAGCGUCAUUUCACCACUCAAGCCUCGCUUGGUAUUGGGCAACGCGGUCCGCCGCGUGCCUCAAAUCGUCCGGCUGGGUCUUCUGUCCCCUAAGCGUUGUGGAAACUAUUCGCUAAAGGGUGUUCGGGAGGCUACGCCGUAAAACACCCCCAUUUCUAAGGUUGACCUCGGAUCAGGUAGGGAUACCCGCUGAACUUAAGCAUAUCAAUAAGCGGAGGA
RNAcentral lists this unclassified non-coding RNA (331 nucleotides) under soil metagenome. RNAcentral's name for it is "partial contains 5.8S ribosomal RNA, internal transcribed spacer 2, and large subunit ribosomal RNA". The stretch from base 1 to 120 matches the Rfam family "5.8S ribosomal RNA", at positions 35 to 154 of the family's 154-position model. The record is from RNAcentral.